UAGUCCACGCCGUAAACGAUGAUAACUAGCUGCUCGGGCUCUUAGAGCUUGGGUGGCGCAGCUAACGCAUUAAGUUAUCCGCCUGGGGAGUACGGUCGCAAGAUUAAAACUCAAAGGAAUUGACGGGGGCCUGCACAAGCGGUGGAGUAUGUGGUUUAAUUCGAAGCAACGCGCAGAACCUUACCUGGACUUAACAUUCAGCGACAACCUCAGAGAUGAGGCUUUCUCUUCGGAGACGCUGGGAUAGGUGCUGCAUGGCUGUCGUCAGCUCGUGUCGUAAGAUGUUGGGUUAAGUCCCGCAACGAGCGCAACCCUUAUCCUUAGUUGCCAGUAUUAAUUUAGGGACUCUAAGGAGACUGCCGGUGUUAAACCGGAGGAAGGCGGGGAUGAUGUCAAGUCCUCAUGGCCCUUACGUCCAGGGCUACACACGUACUACAAUGGCAGAGACAAACCGUCGCUAAACUGUGAAGUGGAGCUAAUCGGAAAAACACUGUCCCAGUCCGGA
This 505-nucleotide ribosomal RNA is filed under the name uncultured bacterium. Its description in RNAcentral is "bacterial SSU rRNA". It matches the Rfam family "Bacterial small subunit ribosomal RNA", at positions 791 to 1297 of the family's 1533-position model. The record is from RNAcentral.